This is a long non-coding RNA of Rhagoletis pomonella (apple maggot), 582 nucleotides long. RefSeq lists it as uncharacterized. The record is from RefSeq and is a predicted model, not a curated record. Lineage: Eukaryota; Metazoa; Arthropoda; Insecta; Diptera; Tephritidae. The transcript has 2 exons.
GGCUUAAUGCGACACAGUAAUCCUAGCCGUAGAAUACAUACGCCGCGAGCGAGAGCAGUGCGAUUAGCCAAGUGAUCAGUGAAAAUAAUCUUUGAAAUAUUAACAAACUUUUUUCUCCAAUUUGAAAGUUCAACUAAUUCAAAAAAGGCUUGCAAAAUUUAAAUUGCAACUCGGCUGUUUAGAAAGUGAAAUUAUUUCGAAAUUAACUGACGUGACACAAUUAAGUGAAAGUAUAAGGGAUAUUUAAAUUAAUAACGGACAGUGUUUCAGUGUGCAGUGUUUCAGUGAUUUGAAUGCAUUAGAAGAGUAACAAAUAUAAAAUUCCAUCAGUUGAGCAUACACAAAGAAACAAAACAAAGACAAACAACAAUAAACGAGCAAGUAAAAGCAGCAAUUUAAUUGUUGGAAAAAUUCGGCGCCAUUUAGGGAAGCCAACGACGAUAGUCCACCAGUAGGAGCAGCGGCAGCAGCAAUAGUUAGCAACAAAUAAAAGGCAAGCGCCGAAAUAACGCAGAUACGUACCAGCACCAGCCCCAGUACCAACUCAAAUAAAAGUGAAAUUUUUGCCACACGCAACACAAU